This 445-nucleotide ribosomal RNA is filed under the name uncultured bacterium. Its description in RNAcentral is "bacterial SSU rRNA". It matches the Rfam family "Bacterial small subunit ribosomal RNA", at positions 330 to 792 of the family's 1533-position model. The record is from RNAcentral.
ACCAGACUCCUACGGGAGGCAGCAGUGGGGAAUAUUGCACAAUGGGGGGAACCCUGAUGCAGCGACGCCGCGUGAGUGAAGAAGUAUUUCGGUAUGUAAAGCUCUAUCAGCAGGGAAGAAAAUGACGGUACCUGACUAAGAAGCCCCGGCUAACUACGUGCCAGCAGCCGCGGUAAUACGUAGGGGGCAAGCGUUAUCCGGAUUUACUGGGUGUAAAGGGGGCGCAGACGGCAGCGCAAGCCAGGAGUGAAAGCCCGGGGCCCAACCCCGGGACUGCUCUUGGAACUGCGCGGCUGGAGUGCAGGAGGGGCAGGCGGAAUUCCUGGUGUAGCGGUGAAAUGCGUAGAUAUCAGGAGGAACACCGGCGGCGAAGGCGGCCUGCUGGACCGUGACUGACGUUGAGGCUCGAGAGCGUGGGGAGCAAACAGGAUUAGAUACCCUCGUA